ACGAUGACCUCCUUCGGGAGGGGAUUAGUGGCGAACGGGUGAGUAACACGUGGGCAAUCUGCCCUGCACUCUGGGACAAGCCCUGGAAACGGGGUCUAAUACCGGAUACGACCACUGAGGGCAUCCUCGGUGGUGGAAAGCUCCGGCGGUGCAGGAUGAGCCCGCGGCCUAUCAGCUUGUUGGUGGGGUGAUGGCCUACCAAGGCGACGACGGGUAGCCGGCCUGAGAGGGCGACCGGCCACACUGGGACUGAGACACGGCCCAGACUCCUACGGGAGGCAGCAGUGGGGAAUAUUGCACAAUGGGCGAAAGCCUGAUGCAGCGACGCCGCGUGAGGGAUGACGGCCUUCGGGUUGUAAACCUCUUUCAGCAGGGAAGAAGCGAAAGUGACGGUACCUGCAGAAGAAGCGCCGGCUAACUACGUGCCAGCAGCCGCGGUAAUACGUAGGGCGCGAGCGUUGUCCGGAAUUAUUGGGCGUAAAGAGCUCGUAGGCGGCUUGUCACGUCGGUUGUGAAAGCCCGGGGCUUAACCCCGGGUCUGCAGUCGAUACGGGCAGGCUAGAGUUCGGUAGGGGAGAUCGGAAUUCCUGGUGUAGCGG
Molecule: ribosomal RNA, 599 nt
Filed under: Actinomycetales bacterium A277
Lineage: Bacteria; Bacillati; Actinomycetota; Actinomycetes; Actinomycetales
Description: bacterial SSU rRNA
Rfam family: Bacterial small subunit ribosomal RNA
Source: RNAcentral